Molecule: ribosomal RNA, 492 nt
Filed under: uncultured bacterium
Lineage: Bacteria
Description: partial 16S ribosomal RNA
Rfam family: Bacterial small subunit ribosomal RNA
Source: RNAcentral
AGUGAACGCUGGCGGUAGGCCUAACACAUGCAAGUCGAACGGCAGCACAGUAAGAGCUUGCUCUUACGGGUGGCGAGUGGCGGACGGGUGAGGAAUACAUCGGAUUCUACUUUUUCGUGGGGGAUAACGUAGGGAAACUUACGCUAAUACCGCAUACGACCUACGGGUGAAAGCAGGAGAUCUUCGGACCUUGCGCGAUUGAAUGAGCCGAUGUCGGAUUAGCUAGUUGGCGGGGUAAAGGCCCACCAAGGCGACGAUCCGUAGCUGGUCUGAGAGGAUGAUCGGCCACACUGGAACUGAGACACGGUCCAGACUCCUACGGGAGGCAGCAGUGGGGAAUAUUGGACAAUGGGCGCAAGCCUGAUCCAGCCAUACCGCGUGGGUGAAGAAGGCCUUCGGGUUGUAAAGCCCUUUUGUUGGGAAAGAAAAGCAGCAGGUUAAUACCCCGCUGUUCUGACGGUACCCAAAGAAUAAGCACCGGCUAACUUCGUG